This 468-nucleotide ribosomal RNA is filed under the name uncultured bacterium. Its description in RNAcentral is "partial 16S ribosomal RNA". It matches the Rfam family "Bacterial small subunit ribosomal RNA", at positions 28 to 507 of the family's 1533-position model. The record is from RNAcentral.
GACGAACGCUGGCGGCGUGCUUAACACAUGCAAGUCGAACGGAAAGGCCCUGCUUUUGUGGGGUGCUCGGGUGGCGAACGGGUGAGUAACACGUGAGUAACCUGCCCUUGACUUUGGGAUAACUUCAGGAAACUGGGGCUAAUACCGGAUAGGAGCUCCUGCUGCAUGGUGGGGGUUGGAAAGUUUCGGCGGUUGGGGAUGGACUCGCGGCUUAUCAGCUUGUUGGUGGGGUAGUGGCUUACCAAGGCUUUGACGGGUAGCCGGCCUGAGAGGGUGACCGGCCACAUUGGGACUGAGAUACGGCCCAGACUCCUACGGGGGGCAGCAGUGGGGAAUAUUGCACAAUGGGCGGAAGCCUGAUGCAGCAACGCCGCGUGCGGGAUGACGGCCUUCGGGUUGUAAACCGCUUUCGCCUGUGACGAAGCGUGAGUGACGGUAAUGGGUAAAGAAGCACCGGCUAACUACGUG